ACACAUGCAAGUCGAGGGGAAACGAUGGGAGGGCUUGCCCUCCCAGGCGUCGACCGGCGCACGGGUGAGUAACACGUAUCCAACCUGCCCUCUUCCGGGGAACAACCUUGCGAAAGUAAGACUAAUGCCCCAUGUGUCCUCAGACGGCACCAGACGAGGACGAAAGAUUUAUCGGAAGUGGAUGGGGAUGCGCCUGAUUAGGCAGUUGGCGGGGCAACGGCCCACCAAGCCGACGAUCAGUAGGGGUUCUGAGAGGAAGGUCCCCCACAUUGGAACUGAGACACGGUCCAAACUCCUACGGGAGGCAGCAGUGAGGAAUAUUGGUCAAUGGGCGAGAGCCUGAACCAGCCAAGUAGCGUGCAGGAUGACGGCCCUAUGGGUUGUAAACUGCUUUUGCGCGGGGAUAAAGUGCGCCACGUGUGGCGCAUUGCAGGUACCGCGCGAAUAAGGACCGGCUAAUUCCGUGCCAGCAGCCGCGGUAAUACGGAAGGCCCGGGCGUUAUCCGGAUUCAUUGGGUUUAAAGGGAGCGCAGGCCGCCCCUUAAGCGUGUUGUGAAAUGCCGCGGCUCAACCGUGGCACUGCAGCGCGAACUGGGGGGCUUGAGUGCGCGCAGCGCAGGCGGAACUCGUGGUGUAGCGGUGAAAUGCUUAGAUAUCACGAAGAACUCCGAUCGCGAAGGCAGCCUGCGGGAGCGCAACUGACGCUGAGGCUCGAAAGUGCGGGUAUCGAACAGGAUUAGAUACCC
RNAcentral lists this ribosomal RNA (746 nucleotides) under uncultured bacterium. RNAcentral's name for it is "bacterial SSU rRNA". It matches the Rfam family "Bacterial small subunit ribosomal RNA", at positions 51 to 787 of the family's 1533-position model. The record is from RNAcentral.